RNAcentral lists this transfer RNA (76 nucleotides) under Syntrophomonadaceae bacterium. RNAcentral's name for it is "tRNA-Ala". It matches the Rfam family "tRNA". Rfam says of the family: Transfer RNA (tRNA) molecules are approximately 80 nucleotides in length. Their secondary structure includes four short double-helical elements and three loops (D, anti-codon, and T loops). Lineage: Bacteria; Bacillati; Bacillota; Clostridia; Eubacteriales; Syntrophomonadaceae. The record is from RNAcentral.
GGGGGUAUAGCUCAGUUGGGAGAGCGUCUGGUUCGCAUUCAGAAGGUCGGGGGUUCGAAUCCCCCUAUCUCCACCA